RNAcentral lists this long non-coding RNA (1610 nucleotides) under Corvus moneduloides (New Caledonian crow). Its description in RNAcentral is "lncRNA (ENSCMUG00000019409.1)". Lineage: Eukaryota; Metazoa; Chordata; Aves; Passeriformes; Corvidae. The record is from RNAcentral.
AUGCCCCGGUUUUCCAAAUGCCUGAUGGGAGGCUGGGAGCAGCUGGAUCCAACCCCAGCCCCAGACAGGAUCAGGUGGUGUGUCCGGAUCACACCUCUGGGCUGGCCGGAACGUCCCGGGCUCAAGCGGAGACCUGCGAGAAGCACAAAACAUUCCAGGUUUAGGGCCAGCCUGGCCAGAGGUGCCAGUUCCCUCCUGCGCACUCCCACCCGGAGCUGCAGCAGCCCAGCUGCGCAGGCGGAACGUGCACAGCUCAGCCGGCACACGGGGGCUCAGGGACGCCCCCGGUCAACGCUCCCACGCGCACCUGGCCACCACCUGCCAAACCACGGCUUUCGGGCGAGGAGCUGGCUCGGUGUGGGCUCACCUCCGGGGCCUCGGUGGAAAAUUCUCCGAUGUGUUCUGAUGUUGAAACAGUCCAGAAGAGAAGGGAAAAACUGAAAUCCCAGGAAAACAAAGUUCAACUCUCUGUCUCCCUCUGGAGAAAAGGAGCCGAAAGCUGGCUGAAAAGCAAGAAGGGCGCUUCCUCUGCUCUUGUUAUCACAACAGGAGAACAUAGAGGAGUGCGUAUCUGUGUUCUUGAACAACUGUUUUGAAAAGUUCAUUCGGUUUUUUCUCUUCCCUCUCUCGGGCUCAGUUUAAAGGCACAGAAUGGCACAGAAUUAAUUUCUGGGCAUAGAGCAGCGAUACGGUGAAGAAGGGGCAGUCAAUAACUAACUCAUGUAAGCACAAGUUAACUAUUAGGAGACAGCAAAUGUUAGUUCAGACAGAAGAUGUUAAUUACAAAACCUAAGAAGCCAAAUUCACCCUAAUCUUGUCAAGAUAGAGGGGACAAGGAUCAUCUCAGAGACUGCUGAAUCAUUCCUCAAAGGACUACGCAUGCCCAGGGAGAAAGGUGAAAAGUUCAUGAGAGGAUGACUACUGGCCUUCAUCAGAAAAGACCCCCGAGGAAGAGGAGAGGUCUUCCUCAGCGCGACCACCAGGACACACAGCGCAUGUGUGGCCCAUAUGCUAAUGACUGCCGAUAAAUAAUUUGUAUAACCACACCUGUCCCAAGGAAUGUGAUGAAUAUUCAUAAUUUAGCCCAUAAUACUGUGUUGUAGAGAGCACCAGGUGUGUGUGUUUGGAGGAGCGAUCCCCACACACCCGGCGCGCCGAAUAAAGCAAAUACCCACUUCUCUGACUCUGUCUCUCAAGUGUCUCCUGGCCCGGUUGUGGCAUGAUUCAAUGGGAUACACAUCAUAAAGUCAUCCCAGGACAUUGACCAUCACGUGUUCACAUCGUGGUGUAUGGUGGUUGGUUGAAUUAUGUUUGUUGAGCUUUAAAACUAUGUAAACUGAUAACUGGCUAACUGCUUAAAAACACCAGGUUUUUGCAAUAAAGUGGCUCUCCUUUGCACCUGCCUGGGGACUCUGCAUCACUUCUUAUCACAACAGCUACUGUCUUAGAAACGAGCAUUAAUGUCUUUGAAAUGGGUCUUAAUAUCCCUAUGAACAUCCACUUGCUUAAGUUUGUUACAGCACUCAGGUGGUUUGACAGUUUGAGUUCCUGAACUUUAGGGUAAUAGGACAAACGGGUCUGCACAAAGUCUCUUGCAGAUGGUCUGAACU